RNAcentral lists this transfer RNA (63 nucleotides) under Bungarus multicinctus (many-banded krait). RNAcentral describes it as "tRNA-Glu". Lineage: Eukaryota; Metazoa; Chordata; Lepidosauria; Squamata; Elapidae. The record is from RNAcentral.
GUUUUUGUAGUUGAGAUACAACGGUGGUUUUUCAGGCCGCAAGUCUCUAGAAGAGCAAAAAUU